Molecule: ribosomal RNA, 164 nt
Filed under: Tetramolopium alinae
Lineage: Eukaryota; Viridiplantae; Streptophyta; Magnoliopsida; Asterales; Asteraceae
Also listed under: 2 other names
Description: 5.8S ribosomal RNA
Rfam family: 5.8S ribosomal RNA
About the family: 5.8S ribosomal RNA (5.8S rRNA) is a component of the large subunit of the eukaryotic ribosome. It is transcribed by RNA polymerase I as part of the 45S precursor that also contains 18S and 28S rRNA. Functionally, it is thought that 5.8S rRNA may be involved in ribosome translocation.
Source: RNAcentral
CAAACGACUCUCGGCAACGGAUAUCUCGGCUCACGCAUCGAUGAAGAACGUAGCAAAAUGCGAUACUUGGUGUGAAUUGCAGAAUCCCGUGAACCAUCGAGUUUUUGAACGCAAGUYGCGCCCGAMGCCAUUCGGCCGAGGGCACGUCUGCCUGGGCGUCACGC